GACGAACGCUGGCGGCGUGCUUAACACAUGCAAGUCGAACGGAAAGGCCCGGCUUUUGUGGGGUGCUCGAGUGGCGAAGGGGGGAGUAACACGUGAGUAACCUGCCCUUGACUUUGGGAUAACUUCAGGAAACUGGGGCUAAUACCGGAUAGGAGCUCCUGCUGCAUGGUGGGGGUUGGAAAGUUUCGGCGGUUGGGGAUGGACUCGCGGCUUAUGAGCUUGUUGGGGGGGUAGUGACUUACGAAGGUUUUGAGGGGUAGCCGGCAUGAGAGGGUGGACGGCGACAUGAGUCCUGCGAGAGGCACCAGAAUCCAACGGGAGGCAGCAGUGGGAAACAUUGCGCAACGGGGCGACGCCUGUGGCGACAACGCCGCGUGCGGAAUGACGGGCUUCGGGUUGUAAACCGCUUUCGAAUGUAACGAAGAGUGAGUGACGGUAAUGGGUAAAGAAGCAACGGCUAACUACGUG
RNAcentral lists this ribosomal RNA (468 nucleotides) under uncultured bacterium. RNAcentral describes it as "partial 16S ribosomal RNA". It matches the Rfam family "Bacterial small subunit ribosomal RNA", at positions 28 to 507 of the family's 1533-position model. The record is from RNAcentral.